UACGUAGGGUCCGAGCGUUAAUCGGAAUUACUGGGCGUAAAGCGUGCGCAGGCGGUUCGCAAAGACAGGUGUGAAAUCCCCGGGCUUAACCUGGGAACUGCGCUUGUAACUAGCGGGCUAGAGUGCGGCAGAGGGGGGUGGAAUUCCACGUGUAGCAGUGAAAUGCGUAGAGAUCGGGAGGAACAUCUGUGGCGAAGGCGGCCACCUGGACCAGCACUGACACUGAGGCACGAAAGCGUGGGGAGCAAACAGG
Molecule: ribosomal RNA, 253 nt
Filed under: uncultured bacterium
Lineage: Bacteria
Description: partial 16S ribosomal RNA
Rfam family: Bacterial small subunit ribosomal RNA
Source: RNAcentral